UAUCCACCCAGUCUGUCAGUAAGUUUAACAGCCAGUAAGGUAUUAAGAGGAACCUAAUCUGGAAGAACUUUUGGUUUUAGGAUGCUUGUUUUGUUUUUCACUUUAACUUGCUAGGGGCUGAAACUAAGAUAAACACUCAUUGGCUUUUUAGAGCAUCUAGAUUCGUGUCUGUCCGGGAGGGAUGCACUUUAGAAUCACCUGAGGAUCUUUUACAGGUACAAACGCUGGGCGCCACCUUCUCAAACAGGUGAUUCGGCGGCACGCGCUCCUGGAGAACCUUGUGUGCCAUUUGUUUGUACGGCUUUCGUCUCCCAACAGGCCUUUUCCACUUCUGUGUCUAGAUCCAGCAAGCUGGACUUUCUUCCUAACUCUUGUCCGGGCACUGCCCCCAGACCCCGGAGAGGAAGAAAGCCUAGGAGGCGGCCGUUGGCGCGGCUGCCCACAUUGGGGAUCCUCUGCUGGCGGAUCGCGGAAAACCCACGCGCUUCAGCAGAUACUUAUUGAGGCCCUGUUGUGUCCUGAGCUGUCGGCGGGGUGCCAGGGCCAACAGGGCCAGCAAACGGAAAGACCUGAUCCCGGCUCAUAAGACUGUCACAUCCAGCAGAGAAGAUUCAGGGACGGAGAGACACGUGCUGUGGCGGAGGAGUGGAAGGUUCGCAGGAGAGGAGUGCAAGUGGAGCCAUGAAAAAUGGGAUUUAGCCAGGUCAAGAGUGGAAGCAAGACCUUGAAGGUGUGCAUGGGGAAGUGGUAAAGAGUGAGGCUGGCUGGCAGGACCAGGGCCAGGUCUGGGGGAGCCUUUAUUGCCACACUGAGAAUUUGUAUUUGGCCUGAAAACUGCAAAGAGCCACUGAGGGAAUUCAGGUAGAGGUGUUAAAGUGACUUUAUUUGCAUUUUUGAAAGAACCUGUGUUUUUAAAAUGACUACUGCACAUAACCCGUCACACACGUGCUUUGUCAGUUUUUUCACCAGCAGGUACUGGCCCACAGGCUUGAGAACGUACAGGAGUGCAGAAUUCUCUGGGAGUAUGCCAGGGAUGCUUUUUGAUUUUUGCCUAGGGCUUCCUGCGCAAAAUCUGCCAGUGUCCUGAAAAGCCUGAGUCCUGGCUUUGUGUUGCCUGGGGCAAGUCACUGCGCUUCCUGAG
Molecule: long non-coding RNA, 1141 nt
Filed under: Equus asinus (donkey)
Lineage: Eukaryota; Metazoa; Chordata; Mammalia; Perissodactyla; Equidae
Description: lncRNA (ENSEASG00005025698.1)
Source: RNAcentral